This 460-nucleotide ribosomal RNA is filed under the name uncultured bacterium. Its description in RNAcentral is "partial 16S ribosomal RNA". It matches the Rfam family "Bacterial small subunit ribosomal RNA", at positions 338 to 795 of the family's 1533-position model. The record is from RNAcentral.
CCUACGUGAGGCUGCAGUGAGGAAUAUUGGUCAAUGGGCUUACGCCUGAACCAGCCAAGUCGCGUGAGGGAAGACUGCCCUAUGGGUUGUAAACCUCUUUUGUCAGGGAGCAACGCCGGCUACGUGUAGCCGGACUGAGAGUACCUGAAGAAAAAGCAUCGGCUAACUCCGUGCCAGCAGCCGCGGUAAUACGGAGGAUGCGAGCGUUAUCCGGAUUUAUUGGGUUUAAAGGGUGCGUAGGCGGAAUGCCAAGUCAGCGGUAAAAUCUCGGGGCUCAACCUCGCUCAGCCGUUGAAACUGGCGUUCUUGAGUGGGCGAGAAGUAUGCGGAAUGCGUGGUGUAGCGGUGAAAUGCAUAGAUAUCACGCAGAACUCCGAUUGCGAAGGCAGCAUACCGGCGCCCAACUGACGCUGAAGCACGAAAGCGUGGGUAUCGAACAGGAUUAGAUACCCCAGUAGUC